UACGCCAUCCUCUCUUUCUCCUCUCUCUUCAAUGCCCAAGGGUUGGGCGUCCCACCUUCCCACAUACCUAAGUUGUUGGGUGAUCUUUUCUGCAUCAAGAAAUAGGAAAAAAAGCUACAGUUCAAGUGUUGAGAUCGCAGACAAAAAUCGACAGUUGAUCAAAGAUCCAAAAGACUGAGAUUCAUCUCGGAGAAGAUGGAUUUAAAAUGAAAAGAAAAGUUCAAGAUUGAUUUCGGUAGAUACUUGUAGAGGCCGGACAUGUGUAUGGCUCAAGAACCUUCAGAUUUACAAUCAUAGAUUGGGGUGUAUUUCGACCAACGUAAGGUAUUGAGAUAUAAUCUCAAAUUUUUCUGUUUUAUUUAUAG
This 365-nucleotide long non-coding RNA is filed under the name Elaeis guineensis (African oil palm). RNAcentral describes it as "long non-coding RNA (EGUI_LNC017659)". The record is from RNAcentral. Lineage: Eukaryota; Viridiplantae; Streptophyta; Magnoliopsida; Arecales; Arecaceae.